Capra hircus (goat) is the source of this 2500-nucleotide RNA transcript. It is a transcript of the gene named sterol O-acyltransferase 2, with no coding region annotated. Lineage: Eukaryota; Metazoa; Chordata; Mammalia; Artiodactyla; Bovidae. The record is from RefSeq and is a predicted model, not a curated record. The transcript has 14 exons.
CUUUAGUCUUUGGUGCUGUCAGAGGUACCGAGAUAAGCGCUCAGCCAGGCAAGCUUGCAGGAAGGGAGAAAACACUGAUCAGUCGCCACUGCCCGGUCAAGACUCACAUCAUGGAGCCAAGGGCGGCCCAAGUGCGGAGGAGAGAAAGGCUAGGAAGACAGCAGAAGGACCGGCCGUCCAGAGAAGGAGAACCCUGUUCUGGGGGUGCAGAACGCCCAGGUGGCAUCGGAGGAAACGUGGAGAUGCACAGAGGCCCAGAUUUGGUGCAAUGGACCCAGCAUAUGCAGGCUGUCAAGACACAGUUGCUGGAGCAAGCGCAGGGCCAGCUGAUGGAGCUGCUGGAUCAGGCCAUGUGGGAGGCCGUUCAAGCUUACCCACCGCAAGACAGACCAGUGCCCUCCGUCCCUCCAGACUCCUUGCACAAGACCCGGGAGUCGUCCCUGGGGAAACGAAAAGUUUUCAUCAUCCGCAAGUCCCUGCUUGACGAGCUGAUGGAGGUGCCACACUUCCGCACCAUCUACCAUAUGUUUGUCGCCGGCCUGUGUGUCUUCAUCAUCAGCACCCUGGCCAUCGACCUCAUUGAUGAGGGCAGGCUGAUGAUGGAGUUUGAUCUACUGACCUUCAGCUUUGGACAGCUGCCCUUGGCUCUGGUGACGUGGGUCCCCAUGUUCCUGUCCACUCUGCUGGUGCCCUACCAGGCCCUGCGGCUGUGGGAGAGGCCCCAGUCUGGAGGGGCCUGGACCCUGGGGGUGGGCCUGGGCUGCUUGCUGCUGGCUGCCCACACCGUGGUGCUCGGCAUCCUCCCGGUCCACGUGGCAGUGGAGUAUCAGCUCCCGCCAGCCUCCCGCUGUGUCCUAGUCUUUGAGCAGGUCAGGCUCCUGAUGAAAAGCUACUCCUUCCUGAGAGAGACAGUACCUGGGACACUUAGGGCCAGAGGAGGUGAGGGGAUCCGGGCCCCCAGUUUCUCCAGCUACCUCUAUUUCCUCUUCUGCCCCACACUCAUCUAUAGGGAAACUUACCCCAGGGGAGGAACAAGACAAAACGAUGGGAAACACACCGUCUCCAUUCCAUUGCUGCAACAGGACACCCAACGUCAGGUGGAGUUAUGUGGCCAAGAACUUUGCCCAGGCCCUGGGCUGCGUGCUCUACGCCUGUUUCAUCCUGGGCCGCCUCUGUGUUCCUGUCUUUGCCAACAUGAGCCAGGAGCCUUUCAGCACCCGUGCCCUGGUGCUCUCCAUCAUGCAUGCCACCUUGCCAGGCAUGUUUAUGCUGCUGCUCAUCUUCUUUGCCUUCCUUCACUGUUGGCUCAACGCCUUCGCAGAGAUGCUACGAUUUGGAGACAGAAUGUUCUAUCGGGUGGGGCCUGGACCUGGGCUACUUGGGAGCUGGAUGCAAGGAGAGCUAGGGAAGGAUGUAGGGGAGGAUGGUGGCUAUGUUGGUUCUCACCUUGUUACCAAACCAGGUGCAUUUGCCCAAUUCUCACUAAGUCAAACACUGAGAUACCGAGAUUUACAGCAGAGAAACGGUUUCUUCAACAAGGCAGCCAAGUAAGGAGAAGUGAGAACAAGCUCAGAUUUGCUUCCCCAAAGGCCAAGGGCUUGAGAUAUUUACAGGAUAAAGAAUCAAGGAGAUCCUAGGCUUGGGAAAAGUGAUUGGAGGUAGAGAAAAGGUGAGGUAAUCAGUGUUCUGCAAAGGCGUAUCUGAGUUACAUGCUUCUUCAUGGGAUGCAUGUUAAAGAAUGGAGGCACUUGGCAAGAUCGGAGAGUGGAGUUUUUGGCUCUCUGAUGUCAAAAAGUCAUUCAUCCAACAGCUUUACAGGCCCAGUUUUAGGAUCGGUAGUCCUAGCCAAUCUUAGCCCACUUGAACUAGACAGGAGCCAACUUCAAGUUCCUGGAAAAUGUAUGCCUCCUGUUGCCAUAGUGACCCAUACAUCAGAGGUGUUAUCUGUACAGGGAUGGUUAAGGAGUCAAAUUUUAAAAAAAGGCUUUGUCAGUGAAGGCAGGUUACAGCAGAAGAAUUUUUAACAAACUGUUCCCUUACCUGCUAUUCUGUAAGACAAGCUCAAGAAUUUCUGUUAGUCACCAGUUUCUGUUAAUCCCAAGGGGCACGAUUCCAUCUCAGCUGUGCUGGCAGUCUCCCGCAGUGAGAAAUGUGCUCCUCUGGGACUGGUGGAACUCAACAUCCUUCUCCAACUACUACCGCACAUGGAACGUGGUGGUCCAUGACUGGCUGUACAGCUACGUGUAUCAAGAUGGGCUUUGGGGCAUGUCUCCCCUCCUUAGCCUUCUAAGGAACAUGCAUAGAGCAAUUUUCAGUUACCAAGAAUUUUCCCACACUAUAUAAUCUGCACUGGAAGCCUGAGAACUCCUUGGUGGCCGGGCCCGAGGCGCAGCCAUGCUGGGCGUGUUCCUGGUCUCAGCAGUGGUCCAUGAGUACAUCUUCUGCUUCGUCCUGGGAUUCUUCUACCCCGUCAUGCUGUUGCUCUUCCUUGUCUUUGGAG